This is a long non-coding RNA of Ictalurus punctatus (channel catfish), 12067 nucleotides long. Lineage: Eukaryota; Metazoa; Chordata; Actinopteri; Siluriformes; Ictaluridae. The record is from Ensembl.
UUCUGGUUUGACCAGUGCUUAAUAAUAAGUAGCUCCUCCAUUUUUAUCAACUAAAGAGACCAAGUCCUGACUUUUUGUUUUAUAUUGGCUUGACGGAGGCUUGUGAAAUCAGAGGUCAAAAUUCACCUACAUAAAAUUGACGCAAAGUAAAAGCAUCCUCUACCAGAAGCAAAUGCAUCUACCACAUCCUUUCCCAGUAAGUGAAUUGGCUUUUGCACCAGGCAAAUUUUAUUUGGUCUGACUGCUGCUUUAUCUAAAAAAGCAGAAAAGUGUCGUUUUUAGGUGGUUCCCGAAUCAAAGUAGCAAGGGGUCAAAUAUCAUAACUGCUAUGGCUACACUGUAGAUGCUGGCACCUCUGUAACUGGUAGUGUGCAAUCUAUUUGACAGUAUUAAAUUCCACCUUGUCUCAGCUUGUUGUUUGAUUGAAGGAAAUGACUGACUUGUUUUUGAGAUGUGCUACCUUCCCCAAAAACAAGGUAAGCGCUCUUGCAGUAGUGGUCUAUGCCAGUGGUUUUCAAUCCUUGUCUUCGAGUUCCUUGCAUAUUUUGGUGUUGUCCCUGCAGCCAACUCAGCAGACUCAACUAAUUAAUUAAGGUCACUGAAAAUAACAAUUGCUGAGCAGGAUAAAAAAAAAACAAGCAAAAAAACAAUCCAAGUACAUCUAUAGUUGAGGCUAAUUAUUAACUAGUGUGAUGUAGCUGAGGAUGAGGAGCCAGAAUUUACAGACCAUGCGUCUUUAAAUUCAGGGUUUCUGGGAUUAUAGUGGUAGGGUUCAUAUAUAUUUAAAAUAAUAAUAAUAAUAAUCAAAUAAAAUAAAAACUUCCAUUUUAAGUCAUGCUCACUUUGCCAGGUAUUGGUAGUGGCUGUAUUGACAGGAGAACAAACAAAAGAAAGUUAAAAUGAGAAUCAUACAGAUAGUGAAACAAGAACUAGGGAAACGUGGCAGGAAACACAAUGGGACACAGGCUAUAGUCAAUAACAUGGUCCACGUGACAAUAAAUGACAAAAGCUUGACCAAGACACAGAUAGAAACCAGAACUUAUAUAGAGGAAUUCAUUAGGUGUUACAGCAAACAGGUGCAAGGGAUCAAGACAUGUGACACCACCAUGUGAUGAUGUACUGGUGCUGAUUUAAAUGAGCACUAAAGCUGAGUAAGUGAUCUACAGCAACAAGUGUUGCUUUCAAUUGGAUGAGGCUAGGGCGUAGCUUUACAUUUUUAAACAUUUAUUCUCUCUCUGAGCUAUGCCCAUAUUUCCUGGCUAGCUCUUAUCACAGCUUCUUUCUUAAGUGCAAUUUUGGCAUUGGACUUCUUUAUCUGGAUUAUUAUUACUACAAUUUGCUUGCCUUGCAUUCCCUCACUCUACCACAAAUUUGUGUCGAUGCUUUGACAGCUUCAAGCUGCGGGGAAGCUCCUACAAGAACAGAAAGGUGAAGUGAGGUCUCACAUAUGACAAAAAGCAGUUGUAAUCCCAGUAGGAAAAUGUCUGGGAAAGUAGGGCAAAGACCCUGGAAAUUAUUAUUACUGUUACUAUUACUUAACAUACUAUUGUUAUUACUAUUAUACUAAAUAAUACAUAAUAAUAGCAGUUCUUUAGUGUUUGUUUCCAGACAUGAAUUUAAAUUUGUACUUCUAAAAGUAUUGAAGUUAUAAAAUCAGUGCAGUGUUCCAAGAAUGGAACUGGGCCUAUGUAGUAAUUUCCUUUGGGAAUCAUCUGAAUGAGAAGAUAACUUAUCUUCUUUCAUUCUCUUUUUAUAUCAUGUGAGAAAUUCUUCUCUGUUUAUGUCUCUUCUCUUUGCACAGAUUAAUGUGAAGCCUGCUUAGAGCUGUAUCAAAUAUUUAAACUGCCCUGAAAGUGUUGCUACCAUCUGCAUGAAAGUAAUCACACAGGCUUAUCAUUUUUGCAUUAGUUACUAAUCAGUGUCUGUGCUAAUCCCUUCUGCUGCAAACAGACAGCACAAAUUCACGCCCAGCCAUGGGAGUGUUCAUUUAAAAUGAACAGGGUUUACAACUCUGACAUCACUCACACCACAGGUACAGACUUCUCGCCAGAAGCUUCUCGCUGUUCAUAAUGCUGCAAUGAAAAAGCAUCUAAUGAGGCAAACGAGCAGGCAGCUCUCUGGCAUUUUAUGAGCAGAGAAACCCACCAUAAUGACUUUUAAUGACAGUUAAAACAGCUGUGGGAUAUUUCUGUGGAAUAUGUGUUACAAUCAUACUUAACGUCUCCAAAUAAACCAAUGGCUGACUCCAUCAUUUUUAAGCACUGGUCAUGUGUGGAGUUCCAUUUGUCUUGACUUCAAAAUGGACCUCAUUAACUUAAAUUUUAAGUUAAUGGUGCUUUCUUGUAUUGUUUUUGGUUGGUUGAUGUGUUUUAAACUUAUGGGCCACCGUAGUUUGGUCAUACCUGCUGUAUUUGUAUCUAUAAUCCAUAUAAAACCUUAGAUCCCAGCAGAAACUGAACAAGAAAAGCACCAACAAAUAACCUGAGAUGUAACAUUAUGUCCGACUUCAGAAUCACUACAUAAAUCAUCACAAUAAUAUUCAAAUAAUCAUAAAGAAAUCCAUCCAUAUCCUACACAGGGUCACUGUGUACCCUGGAGCCUAUCCCAGGCGGGGAAACACCCUGGACAGGGUGCCAAUCCAUCAUAAGGCACAAUCACACACUAUGGACAAUUUAGAGAUGCCAAUCAACCUGUUUUUGGACUGUUGGAGGAAACCAGAGUACCUGGAGGAAACCCUAGAAACAUGUGGAGAACAUGUAAACUCUGCACAUAGAGAGCGAAGGCAGGAUUCAAACCCCCAACCCUGGAAGUGUUGCAUGCUAACCACUAAGCCACCAUGCCCCAUGACAAAUUAUUUUGCCAUGCUGGCCCACGUUUUUGAUUUUGACAAGGUAGAGUUGCAUUUCUCAAUACAACAACUUGUGGCUUUUAUAGAAACACUUUACUUGAACCCUUCCGUCAAGGAACUGGCAUAACAUCAUCAUAAACAUGCUGUGAAAGAUGUCAUAGAGUAUAAACACAGUUCAUGUAGUUCUAUUCUAGUUAUCAUUACUUGUAAACAUUCAUUAACAAUGAACACACACCUCCACACACACGUAUGAUGCACUGAUAUAUCUGUCGAUCUGCUGAUAUGCUGUAUAGCUUAUCUGCAUUCUUUUACUUCAUACAAGUUGAAACUCCCACCCCCUCGCCCCCUCUUAACCUUCCAUCUGUUCGCUCUGAACAUAUUUGCUGUCUAAUUUGCUCAUGGCAACCUCCAUUUUGGUUAUUAGCAAACACUGUGGACAGAAUUAAAUACAUGGCCUCUAAAUUAUGAAAUGCAUGUGUAAUGUUACCUGUGUGAAGUAUAACUAUGGCAAGGGAAAACUCCCUUAAACGACACAACACAGCAGUUUAAUACCACUGCUGUGUUCAGUCUUACUACACCAGUUUUUCUCCCAUAUCAGGAAUGUCAAAAUCAGUGGUGGCACAGAUAUGAUCCUGCUUGGACUCUCCUAGUGUACAGGUCCUAAAUGUUUAACAAAGAUAUCAGUGAGAAGGUCUGAGAUGCUCUGUGUUUCUGUUUACCAAACCACUUGCCAUGACAAAUGUUAGAAGUGAAUGCUAAAACUUAUUGGCUUGGACAUACUGAUACAGAAGACAUUAAAAAACGGUUUAAGGGUAACUUUAUCUAAAAAGAUCUGUGUGUGAUUUCACAGGAAGAAAUUUGCCACCACAAACCCCACGCUUUAACUUAACCUAACUUAAUGGUCAUGAGACCAUAUUGCUUAUCCAUGUGUUUCCUCAGCUGUAUUGUUUAUACUUAAUGCUCAUAUGUGAAACAAAUCUACUGGAAAGUGUACUAGUGAUGUCAUCUAUUGUUCCCGUUUCUGUAUGCUGGGAAAUGUCCUUCGCAAGGAAACAGGAGACAAGUUUCACCCCCACAGACCAUCACAUGUGACCUUCAAGAGCCCUCACAUUCCCUUCUCCAACAGAAAGCGUCCUCAGUAACUGAGAGCCUUAACGCCCACGACAGUGGCACCAGACCAGGGGUCAAUCCCAUUUCAAUUCCAGUAUGACAGAAUAUAAACACUGCCUUUGUGCAAAUAUGAGAAUUCCUAAUGCAAUCAAGAAGAUGAAAAAAAAUAAUUAAUAGAUCCUGCUUUUUAGUUUUUAACACUGAUUUUUCCAUAAUGGCUGCGUCUGCACCGAAGGUCCACCACAAAGCUAUGCAGUACAGUUACAAUGUUUGCUAUUAUUUUUGCUACGAUAACAAUGAGACCCACAUGACAUCUCACAGGGUCAUGACCCCAUCCUUUCACACAUGUGCAGUGGUUUUCAAAAUAAGAAGUGGAAAAGCCUGCUUUGAAACACUUUAUUUGAAGUUUACCUACAUUGGGCUUUUCAUUCAUAAUCAUAGCAUAACCAUAAUGUAUACUCUGCUCAAACAAAUAAGGUUGCAAAGCUUCGACUUUCCUGCUAAUGCUGCCCUCAAUGCCACAGUGCUCAUCAUCUCUUUGAUUGCUAACUAGCCGAGCGAAGUCGCUGCCGCAACUCAGCAACAUAUGUGGGUCAUAUACUGUAACUGCAUUUCACUUACUAAGUAGAAGUCCAAGAUUUGAUAUUUCCACUACUUCCGUGUUAGAUGUCUCAUUAAUACGACAUUGAACGUCACUGAAAUUUGGUGAGUGAGAAAAUAAGCACUUUUCUUUUUAGGAGCUAACAGCAAAACCUGACUAUUAUCCCUUUAUGUUUGUGAUUAUUGAAAGUUUUUCUCAGAUUUAACUGCAUUGUAGGGCGACAGUGGCUCAACAGUUAAGGCUCUGGGUUACUGAUCAAGUAUGGGGUUCAAGCCCCAGCAUCACCAAGCUGCCACUUGGUAGCACCUUGAGCAAGGCCCUUAACCCUCUCUACUCCAAGGACGCCCUGUGCUCUGACCCCAGCUUCUUAACAAGCUAGGAUAUGUGAAAAAAAAAAUUCACUCUGCUUUAAUGUAUAUGUGACAAAUAAAAGCUUCUUGUAAUUACACUAGGAAUGUCCCACUGGGAUGACAGAAAAGGAGACAACCACUAACUUCUCACAGGAAUUAUGAAAAUACAGCACCAACAAAGUAGCACUCUCUUUACAUAAUAUAUCAAUUAAAUUAAGUAUCCUUUCCAUUAAUAAUGAUUUAUUUGACAGUUGGGAAUUCUAAAUAAUUGAAGCUGUGGGUGUGUGUGUGUGUGGGGGGGGGUUAUAUAAUAACACAUAAACAUAAACAUCUUAUGAAUAUUAAAUUAUUAAAAGUCCUUCUGAUCUAUAGACUUUUAAAUAUAACUGAAGUUGUAUUGGAAUGGUGAUUCGUAAUAACAAGAUUCGUAAUAACAACUAGACCCCAGCUUCAUUCAUGGAGUAUCACAUUUCAUAUCCUCCUACAUACAUUUCCCAAAACAGUAAGAUUAUCUCUAAGCUUUAUGAAUAUGCAGUCAAUUACAGGACAAAUUAAUAACUCAAAAGACAAAGACAGAAAAUUACAAGUACAACAGUGUCGAAAUGUCUAAUAUCUUUCAUGUCAACUCAUGGGUUUUGACAUAAAGCUUACCAUACUCCUACAGCAUGGCUCAGUGCUUAUGAAGUGCCUAUGUGUUAUGAAAGCCCAGCAUAGGUCCCCUUCAAAUAGAGUGUUAAAACAUCGCCAUGGGAUUUCAGCAUAAUGUUGUGUAAUACAACCUUAGAUUAAAAAUAUUACAAACAUGCAAGAUUAUAAUUAAUAGCAAAUGAGAGAAGACGAAUGCUUAAAACAGUUUAUACCAGAGCACAGUUGAAUUCUUGAAUUCUCAUUGGUCAAAAGGUUUGUUGAUAUAGUGUUGAUAAGUUUUCUGUGUGGAGAGGUUCAUUUAGCAUUUAUAGAAAGAGUCUCCAGUGUCCGAGCUUUGCAACAGUAAAGCUGAAACUUUUAAGUGUUCCACUAUGGGAAAGUCUUCAGGAUAUUUUGUGUUUUGCCGUUUCUCUGUAGCAUGACAAGCUGAUGUUUUUGUCUCAUUAACUUCAAGAGAGCGAAAAAAGACAAGUUUGUGUGGGUGAGCAACUAUUUACGGCUGUUAUAACAUAAGUGAUAACACGUGCUUCGUGGACAUUCCACACCAUUCAAUGUAUAAAUGGAUUUUUAAAAAAGUAUAAUGAUAAUGAGUCUUUAUUUAUCACAUAUACAUUACAGCACAGUGAAAUUCUUUUCUUCGCAUACCACAGCAUGCCAGGAAGUUGGGGACUGAGUGCAGGGUCAGUCAUGAUACAGUGCCCCUGGAGCAGAGAGGGUUAAGGGCCUUGCUCAAUGGCCCAACAGUAGCAGCUUGGCAGCGCCGGGGCUUGAACCCCUGACCUUCUGAUCAGUAAUCCAGAGCCUUAACAACCAAGCCACUACUGUUCCCCAUUAAUGACUCAUUAAUGGUGUCAUUAAUGAGUCAUUAAUAAAAAAAAAAUUAUCACCAACUUGCUAUGGAGUGAGAGGAAUAAACACUUGGAAAAUCAUCAACUCCAAGGUGGUAACAGUAACGCUGUUUGGUGUCGGGCUACAUCACACCACCCCGUUGUUGAUUAUUUUCCUAUAACAGAUCCACCGCCCCCACCCCAUUCCAACCCCAAGUGUUUUAUUCCAUCCUUGGCUCACAUAUCACUGUGAAAUGAGAGCACCUCAUUUGAAUUUGUGUGUCUGAAAACAGUCACAGCUCAUCCUUGAUGACUGUAUCUCAGUGAUGACACAGACCAGAACUUACAUUGGACCCAUUUCUGACACAGUAUUAGCGGUCACACUGGUUACAAUUGGGUCAUUUCCGGCCCAGAUACCAAAUGCCAUGAUAUACUUAAAUGUCACUGCUUACAGUUGGACCAUUUUUGAACCACAAUACACUUUUUCAAUAACUGACAUACUUAAACAAACAAUUACUUAAAUCAAACAAUUAACCCAGAGAUGAGUUUCAGAUAUGAACAAAACAUACAUAUACAUUGCAGAGUAUAGGCUACAUUGUCUCUUGAGUGUGUGCCAUCUACUGUGUGUCACUGAAUGUAAAGGAUGAUGGAGUCUCUCUGGUUAUGUAACAUACGAGCUGAUCGGUAUUCUGCCUGGAAACAUAGUAAUUGAGUACAUGCGUGCAGCUGCAUCACCAAACGUUCAGAAAAGACAAAUAUUUGAAAAAAAGCCAUCUUAUCAAAUGGACCUAUAAAUAUAAGGUAUUACAGCAGUGAUCUAACCAGCAAUGAGAGUCAAAUUAGACAUAUUUGUGCAGGAAGAAAAGAUACUAAGCCCAUUUGGAAAACAGCCCACAAUUACACCUUAACAAAAUUUCUGAUUUCUAGUAUGGUUAUUCUUUGAGGAGUACUCAGUCAGCAUAUCUAUGAAGAUUUCAGACAUACAUGUAAUUGAAUGCAUAGUACCAGUAAGUCCUACUACUAGUACUACUACAAAUUAUUUUUAAGUAACACAAGAGCACACUUACAUACAGCUAAAAGUAUUAACAAGGCGCAUAUCCUUGGUAUGUUCAGGACAACAGUGUUAGAAGGUUCUCACCAGACUGGACAUAGAAGUUAGUCAUCAUGCUAUGGAUAACAUCAGAGCCUCUUGGUGGCCCUUUGGAGCACGUCUUAGCAUUAUGCCCCCUACCACUCAAUGAUACAACAUACUUCGUCAUAGAAAACAGCUGCUUUUCAAAUGAACUUAAAGGAACACUUGAAGUGUUGCUUCAACCUAAUUUCUAGAACUGGAAACAUUUCAGCAUAUUUCCCUGAACGGAAAGCAGAAAUGAGAAAUGACUUUGCUUAUACAACUGCUUAUACAACCCCAAUUCUGAGAAAGUUGGGACAGUAUGGAAAAUGCAAAAAAAAAAAAAAUUACAAGAACAAUCAUUUGAAAAUUCUCUUCACCCUGUAUUACACUGAAAACACAUCAUUAACACAUGAUUUGAUAUUUUUCUUCGUGAAUUUAAUUUAUUUUGUAAAAAUACACUCAUUUCAAAUCUGAUGACUGAAACACACUCCAAAAACGUUGGGACAGUCGACUGUUUACCACUGUGCUAACACCCGCUUUCUCUGCUUACGCAAGCAUGCACUUGUAAUCCAGGCAGAAUGUGGUUUGGCGUUGUUCUGCUCCGGAUGGCAGCAUAUGUUGCUCCAAAAUGUUUAUAUUUCUUUCUGCAUUAAUGCUGCCCUCACAGAUGUGUAAGUUACCCAUGCCAUGGGCACUGACACACCUCCAUACCACGACAGACACUGGCUUUAGGACCUGACACUGAUAACAGCUUGGAUGGUCGUUUUCCUCUUUGGCCCGGAGAACACGAUGGCUAUUUUGUCCAAAAACUAUUUGAAAUGUUGACUCGUCAGACCACCAAACACGAUUCCACUGUGCUACUGUCCAUCUCAGAUGAGACCGAGCCCAGAGAAGUCGGCGGCACUUCUGGACAGUGUUGAUGUAUGGCUUCUGCUUUGCAUAGUAAAGCGUUAACUUGCAUCUGUGGAUGCAGCUGCGAAUGGUGUUGAGUAACAAAGGUUUACCAAAGUAUUCCCGAGCCAAUGUCAGGAUAUCUAUUACAGACUCAUGACAGUUUUUAAGACAGUUACGUCUGAGGGAUCGGAGAUCACACUCAUUCAGAAGUGAUUUUCAGCCUUGUCCUUUAUGCGCUGAGAUUUAACUGGAUUCCUUGAAUCUUUUAAUUAUAUUGUGCACUGUAGAAGGUGAAAUACCCCAAAUCCUACCAAUUUGUCUUUUGGGAAUGUUGUUCUCAAAGUGUUUUUUAUUCGCUGAUGCAUCUGUUGGCAGAUUGCCGAGCCUCAACCCAUCCUUGCUCUUGAAGGACUAGGCCUUUUUUGGAGACUCCUUAUAUACUAUGAUUAGACGAUUGCCUCACCUGUUUCACAUCAGCGUCUUAUUUCAACUUGUCACAUCGCUAUUAAUCCUAAAUUGCCCCUGUCCCAACUUUUUUGGAACAUGUUGCAUGCAUCAAUUUAAAAAUAAACAUUUACCUUCAAAAAACUAUGCAGUUGAUCAGGUAAAACAUCAAAUACCUUGUCUUUAUACAUUUUAUUGUUUAAAUACAAGUCAAAGUACAUUUACAAAUCACUCCUCUUUGUUUUUAUUAGCAUUUUCCAUACAGUCCCAACUGUUUUGGAAUUGGGGUUGUAUAAAAACUCACAUAUAGACAAAGUAAAAGGGCAGUUGUUGAAAGCAAAUUCAAAAAAACUUGAUGAGACAGAUGUCUGACACACAGUAAAACUAAUUCUUGUUACUUACACUUACGCUUAAGGUUUCUCAUUUUAACCAUGCGUGAGAAGGUCAAAAUGGAUGCAUUUCCAUGUUUAUGCGUGUACACUAUGUAAGAGAUAAAACAUGAUUUGGUUACUGUUAUAGGAAAACAACCAAUGAUGGGACGUUUCAGGAAAGGGCAUUACCACCCAAAAGUUAUUUUCCUAUAACUCAUUUCUUGAGGUGGUUUACUCCAAGUAAACCUCAGCAAUUUUCAGUUUGUUAUCAUUUACGUUAAAACAGCUAUAAACAGUGGUUCUCUCACUAGCUUCUCUUUUCUCUUGAAGUUAACAAGAUAACAAAUAGAACUCAACUCAAACAGUGUCGACGAGGUGAAGAACAGUCUUUAUUUAUUAUUAAUCUGUAUGCCUCACAUACCUUUAAAGCGAUUGAAAAAACAUUUCAGAUAUAUUUUGACCUUGUUGUGACCUUUACCUUGCUUGGAUCAAUUCCGCAAUCGAAUCAGUUCAUCUGCUGGUUAUAAUGAUACUUCCAUAUAAAUCCUACAAACAUUUUACUAUUUGUUCUCGAGAUAUCAUGCCAAGAAUAAUCUCAGAUGAAUGCAUGGAUGGAGGUACUGACACACGGAUGCACGGACACCACAAAAACAUAAUAAAAAAACACAGUGUGUCAUGUUACCGAGUAACUACAAAGUGCAAAGACAUCUGUCUUGUUUUCUGUGUUGGAAAACUUAACUUAGCAAAGCACUGGCACUGGAGACUCCUUCCAAAUGAUCUAAAUGGCUCUUUAAUGAAAACCUCACUAUGUCAGUGAUUAGACAUUUUACAUCCAUUUAUUAUUAGGCAUUGAUUAUUUGGAAUGUCUGCCACACAAGUAGCUCUGAAUGAGUUGUUACUAUAGAAACGAUAAAUAAUGCAUUCGAAUGAGAAUUAGUAUUGAAUUACAGCUGGCGAUACUUUCAGUGUUGCAAUCAAUCAACACCUUCUAACCAGUCAGAGAUUGAAAACUGUUGGCAUAUUCCUUUCAAAUUUCGAAAGUGGCUGAUCUUCAUUGUAUAUGUACGAUACAUUGAGUGUUAUACAUUUAUUAGACAUGUAAGAAAACAGCUUUGCAGUAGAUGAUUUGAAACAAGCUCUUCAAAUUCUCAGGUUGAAACCAAAAAACAAACAUGCUUGCUCUUGAUAAGUUAUGAGUCAAGCAGCUGUAAGACUCCCACAGGACCUCCUUUACAGGAGAACAGUGCAAUCUCAGCUCCCUCAUUUCCUCGCCGUAAAGUUCCGGAUCCAACAGGACAAGCUCUCUGUCAUUUUCUGGGCAGCAGUAAAGAGUGUCAUCACUAGAUGAAGCAAUCCAGCAUAAUGAAAGCAGUGCUGCACUAAAACCUGAUCAAACGCACCGCUCAGGGCUCGGGUGACCCUUGGCUUGUGAACAGCCAGAUGGAUGAUAUUACUGCAGCCCAGUGGAGAGAAAGGAGGGAGGGGGGGAUUUGACUAAAACAAACCUCAAAACAAUGAGAGAGUGAAAUAUGCAGAGGGAUAUGAGAGAUAAGGUAAAGAUUUCAGUGAUGUCUGUCUGGUUCCCUCAUCUCACAUGCUAACCUUAUACACAGCCAUGCUGCCACAAGAGGGAAAAAAAACGAGACAGAUGAGAGGAAAUGAAAAGGCAUUCAUCAAAGGCUACAAGAUAGCAGAGCAGCCUAAUGAUGGAGCUGACAGAAAAGCAAUGUCUUAUCUCACCUUUCUUCCUUCUUGUCUCUGAGGGAUUCUUCCCGUCUCCACUGCAGAGGCGAGGCAGACCUGCAGACCUGGGCUCAGAGAAGCAGCGGCAGUCCCUCCUUUCUUCCCCUCGAGCAUACACAGCAUCCGGAGCUGCAGUACACUCGCUAUUGAGGACUACGAAGGGGGAUGGCAGAGAGCUCCCAUAACACAAGAGCCAUACUGUGAAACUGAACACACCUCCUCCCCAAGUGUUCACCCAAUAGCAGCUUGAGGGUUCUCUACACAUACAUAUACAUGCAAGCACACACUCUCUCUCUCUCUCUCGCACACACAUACACACACACACACACACACACACACACACACCAGCCAACACCACCCCAAUAGCACUUGCUUGCUCACUUGCCCCCCCACACAUAAACAUUGAUGAGAGGAAAAACAACAAGGUAUGAAAAUGAGUGCCUCUUUUUUUUUAAUGCACUUGUGAAAUCAGCAAAAAUGCACCAUAUGGAAGGAAUAAAGGACUAUAGCCAUGACCUGGUCUGUGAUCAUCCUGAAACAUGAAGACACUUUCUAUCACAGAAAAAAUGCUGCUAUUGAAACUAGCACUGAUUGAAAAACCAUCAUGCCUCUUGAAGGAGGGAUAAAACAAUCCAGGACAUGCCAGUCAUUCAUGCAGCAGGGUUGUAUUUCUCUACAUUUUUUUCUUCUUUCAUUCAGUUUCUGUUUUGUCUCCUACAGAGCAUAGAGUAAGCUUCAGUGUUAAGCCUAAGGAAACUAAGGAGCAGUAGAAGAAGAGGUGUGUGUGUGUAUGUGUGUGUGUACAGUAUGUGUUUGUGUGCCUCUCUUCCACAUCUGUGUGCACACUACCGCGCGUGCUUCAGUAUUGUCUAGUAACGCGCAUGCGCACAACCCUUCCCACGCCCCAGUGUUAUUUAGCUCGUAUUAACCGAUAUAACGAUAUUGGGAAUGAAGACACAACACAUUCAGGAUCUUCUGGCUUGGUUUCUGAUAUACAAGCACAACUUUUCACCUCACAAGGAUUUCAUUUGGAAUAAUUGUAAUAUUCUAGAUAAAAAUGCAUAUUUUCAGACUUGGUUUGAUAAAAAUAAAAAUAAAAAGUCAGUUAGGGAUGUUG